RNAcentral lists this ribosomal RNA (397 nucleotides) under Bacillus sp. PSu3_12. RNAcentral describes it as "bacterial SSU rRNA". It matches the Rfam family "Bacterial small subunit ribosomal RNA", at positions 61 to 447 of the family's 1533-position model. The record is from RNAcentral. Lineage: Bacteria; Bacillati; Bacillota; Bacilli; Caryophanales; Bacillaceae.
GUCGAGCGGACAGAUGGGAGCUUGCUCCCUGAUGUUAGCGGCGGCCUUGUGAGUAACACGUGGGUAACCUGCCUGUAAGACUGGGCCCUCUAAAGGAAACCGGGGCUAAUACCGGAUGCUUGAUUGAACCGCAUGGUUCAAUUAUAAAAGGUGGCUUUUACCUACCAUUUCCAAAGAAACCCGCGCCGCAUUACCUAUUUGGUGAGGUAACGGCUCACCAAGGCAACAAUGCGUAGCCAACCUGAAAGGGUGAUCGGCCACACUGGAACUGAAACACGGCCCAAACUCCUACGGAAGGCACCAUUAGGAAAUCUUCGCCAAGGAACAAAAUUCUAACGAACCACCGCCCCGGGAUUGAUGAAGGUUUUCGAAUCGAAAACCUCUGUUGUUAGGGAAA